CUCCUACGGGGGGCAGCAGUGAGGAAUAUUGGUCAAUGGUCGGGAGACUGAACCAGCCAAGCCGCGUGAGGGAUGAAGGUACAGAGUAUCGUAGACCUCUUUUGUCAGGGAACAAAGGCGGGGACGCGUCCCCGGAUGAGUGUACCUGAAGAAAAAGCAUCGGCUAACUCCGUGCCAGCAGCCGCGGUAAUACGGAGGAUGCGAGCGUUAUCCGGAUUUAUUGGGUUUAAAGGGUGCGCAGGCGGUCUGUUAAGUCAGCGGUCAAAGCCCGGGGCUCAACCCCGUCGUGCCGUUGAAACUGACGC
RNAcentral lists this ribosomal RNA (305 nucleotides) under uncultured bacterium. Its description in RNAcentral is "bacterial SSU rRNA". It matches the Rfam family "Bacterial small subunit ribosomal RNA", at positions 336 to 639 of the family's 1533-position model. The record is from RNAcentral.